Long non-coding RNA from Asparagus officinalis (garden asparagus), 361 nucleotides. RefSeq lists it as uncharacterized. The transcript has 3 exons. The record is from RefSeq and is a predicted model, not a curated record. NCBI's taxonomy places the organism in Eukaryota, Viridiplantae, Streptophyta, Magnoliopsida, Asparagales, Asparagaceae.
UCCCCUCUCUCAGCUCAGCCACUCGCCGCCGGCGAACACCGCACUCUCGCGGCCAGCCUAGCCCGCGCCAUCACCUUCCCCUCCCCCUCUUCGACUCCACCAUCCGUGGCCCCGAUCAAGCUCACCGACGACCUUGGAGCUCGCCGCCGCACCGCCCCGUCGCCGACUCGAACAGUGGGCGCCUGAGCUCUCUCGUCUCCUCACCCGUCAGCAGCCGCAGGAGGUCUAAGUGAGUCUUACGUUUUGUUGGAUUGCAUUGCAGGAGAUCCAAGCGAUGUCUAAAAAUAUUAACAGGAGGUUAUUCGAAGCUAACCCCAGUCAAGACCAAUCCACUGAGGAAGAGCCUCAGAGUUCAGGAGAG